Podarcis lilfordi (Lilford's wall lizard) is the source of this 76-nucleotide non-coding RNA. The record is from the annotation of a GenBank genome assembly. NCBI's taxonomy places the organism in Eukaryota, Metazoa, Chordata, Lepidosauria, Squamata, Lacertidae.
UCCCGGGACAGCUCAUUUGGUAUGGAGCUUGAGACUCUUAAUCUCGGGGCUGUGGGUUCGAGCCCCGUGUUGGGCA